GACGAACGCUGGCGGCGUGCUUAACACAUGCAAGUCGAACGGAAAGGCCCUGCUUUUGUGGGGUGCUCGAGUGGCGAACGGGUGAGUAACACGUGAGUAACCUGCCCUUGACUUUGGGAUAACUUCAGGAAACUGGGGCUAAUACCGGAUAGGAGCUCCUGCUGCAUGGUGGGGGUUGGAAAGUUUCGGCGGUUGGGGAUGGACUCGCGGCUAUCAGCUUGUUGGGGGGGUAGUGGCUUACCAAGGCUUUGACGGGUAGCCGGCCUGAGAGGGUGACCGGCCACAUUGGGACUGAGAUACGGCCCAGACUCCUACGGGAGGCAGCAGUGGGGAAUAUUGCACAAUGGGCGGAAGCCUGAUGCAGCAACGCCGCGUGCGGGAUGACGGCCUUCGGGUUGUAAACCGCUUUCGCCUGUGACGAAGCGUGAGUGACGGUAAUGGGUAAAGAAGCACCGGCUAACUACGUG
RNAcentral lists this ribosomal RNA (467 nucleotides) under uncultured bacterium. Its description in RNAcentral is "partial 16S ribosomal RNA". It matches the Rfam family "Bacterial small subunit ribosomal RNA", at positions 28 to 507 of the family's 1533-position model. The record is from RNAcentral.